CCUACGGGGGGCUGCAGUGGGGAAUAUUGGGCAAUGGGCGAAAGCCUGACCCAGCAACGCCGCGUGAGGGAAGAAGGUUCUCGGAUUGUAAACCUCUGUCCUUGGUGACGAAAAAAAUGACGGUAGCCAAGGAGGAAGCCCCGGCUAACUACGUGCCAGCAGCCGCGGUAAUACGUAGGGGGCAAGCGUUGUCCGGAAUGACUGGGCGUAAAGGGCGUGUAGGCGGCCGAUUAAGUCUGGAGUGAAAGUCCUGCUUUCAAGGUGGGAAUUGCUUUGGAGACUGGUUGGCUUGAGUGCGGAAGAGGCAAGUGGAAUUCCCAGUGUAGCGGUGAAAUGCGUAGAGAUUGGGAGGAACACCAGUGGCGAAGGCGACUUGCUGGGCCGUAACUGACGCUGAGGCGCGAAAGCGUGGGGAGCGAACAGGCUUAGAUACCCCUGUAGUC
This 443-nucleotide ribosomal RNA is filed under the name uncultured Bacillota bacterium. RNAcentral's name for it is "bacterial SSU rRNA". It matches the Rfam family "Bacterial small subunit ribosomal RNA", at positions 338 to 795 of the family's 1533-position model. The record is from RNAcentral. Lineage: Bacteria; Bacillati; Bacillota.